UACAUGAUUCAAAUUAAUCAAAGUAAUUAUUCAACUAUUUGCAGUAAGUGUUUUAAAACAAUGAACUUUUUUGCCAGAUUCGGUCUUUAUUCUGUGAUAUGCUUUGUUGUCAAAAGUUGGCGUUUAUCUCGCCAGAUUCCAGAAUGCAAAUGAAUGAUUUUUCUAUGCAGCUUAAUGAUUGAUUAGAUGACGGCUAUCGGAACCAUUCUUGUGACAUUGCCCCAAAGAAAGCAGCAGCUCCAGUUUUAUGACCUCGUGAUGAUUCUGUUU
Episyrphus balteatus (marmalade hoverfly) is the source of this 270-nucleotide long non-coding RNA. RefSeq lists it as uncharacterized. The transcript is spliced from 3 exons. NCBI's taxonomy places the organism in Eukaryota, Metazoa, Arthropoda, Insecta, Diptera, Syrphidae. The record is from RefSeq and is a predicted model, not a curated record.